This 92-nucleotide ribosomal RNA is filed under the name Clypeaster rarispinus. RNAcentral describes it as "partial 12S ribosomal RNA". Lineage: Eukaryota; Metazoa; Echinodermata; Echinoidea; Clypeasteroida; Clypeasteridae. The record is from RNAcentral.
UACACAUCGCCCGUCACUCUCACCUAGCUUCCCAAAAGCGAGAUGAGAAAAGUCGUAACAUAGUAGGUGUAUCGGAAGAUGCACCUGGAAGU